This 485-nucleotide ribosomal RNA is filed under the name uncultured bacterium. RNAcentral's name for it is "partial 16S ribosomal RNA". It matches the Rfam family "Bacterial small subunit ribosomal RNA", at positions 30 to 507 of the family's 1533-position model. The record is from RNAcentral.
AUUGAACGCUGGCGGCAGGCUUAACACAUGCAAGUCGAGCGGGGACAGGUAGCUUGCUACCUGACCUAGCGGCGGACGGGUGAGUAAUGCUUAGGAAUCUGCCUAUUAGUGGUGGACAACAUCUCGACAGGGAUGCUAAUACCGCAUACGUCCUACGGGAGAAAGCAGGGGACCUUCGGGCCUUGCGCUCAUAGAUGAGCCUAAGGCGGAUUAGCUAGUUGGUGGGGUAAAGGGCUACCAAGGCGACGAUCUGUAGCGGGUCUGAGAGGAUGAUCCGCCACAAUGGGACUGGGACAACGCCCAGGCUCCCUAGGGAAGCAGCAGUGGGGGAUUAUGGGAAAUUGGGGGAAAGCUUGUCCCGGCAAGCCGGCGUUGGGAAGAAGGGCCUUUGGUUGGUAAGGACUUUUAGUGAGGAGGAGGCAGCAGAGAGUAAUACUCUUGGUUAGUGGACGUUACUCGCAGAAUAAGCACCGGCUAACUCUGUG